CCAGAAUACAACAUAAGGCAGAGUAAGGAAUAAUUCACUCUCUGAAUGACUGUUUUCAAGCUGGGACAUGGGUCUCCUGCCUUCAGACUUGGUCUCAGAUAGAACUUAACCUUCAAUUCUUCUGGUUUUUGGACUGAGAAUAGGAUUGGGGCUUAAACCAUCAGCUUUCCUGGUUCUCGGGUCUUUGGAUCCUGAUUGGAAUGAUAUCAUUGGCUUUCCAGAGUCUUUAGCUUGCUGACUGCAUAUCUUGGAACUUCUCAGCUUUCAUAAUCAAUUACAGUUGAAUAUGAGGAGCUGGAUUGCAGUGUCAUGACCUGGGCUCAGUGUAACUUCCAUCUGCCAGGCUCAAGAGAUCCUCCCGCCUCAGCGUCUCGAGUAGCUGGGACUACAGGAACGUGCCACCAGGCCUGGCUAAUUUUUUAUUUUUUUUGUGAAGACGGGGUUUCACUAUGUGGCUCAGGCUGGUCUCAAACUCCAGGAAUCAAGGGACCCACCUGCCUAGGCCUCCCAAAGUGCUGGGAUUACAGGCAUGAGCUACCGCACCAGGGCUGAGAUUGCAAGAGGACAACUCGGCUCUAAAAUCGAUGCAUUAACAUGUCAUUGGAAUUGACCUUGCCAAAAGAUGCCUCCCUAAAUCCACAAGAAUCUCCUUGUUUGAACACAGUUUCUAAUCCAGCUGUAAUGAAGACAGACAACAGUCAAAUUAACAACUGAUCAGGAGGAGAAGUUCAUACUCCUUGAGCUGGAUCUAUCUGCACAUGCACCUGGCCCAGGAAGCUGAAAUGGGAGAUCUGAUGAGCAGUGGAGGACUGAACCAAAGCCCUUGGCUUUUGCUCCAUACCAGUCAGAGUCUCAUCAGGAUAUCAUGUUGCAUUGAGUAGUCAUGUCUCCACAGGCUUUUCUUGGCUGCGACUCUUACUCACGUUUUCCUUGGUUUUGCCCACCUUACAGUUUACAGUAGUGGUCAGGUAUUUUGUAGUAUGUCCCUCACUUGGGCUUUGCUUGAUGCUUAUCUCCUGAGAAAACUAGGGAUAUGUAUUUUGGGGAGGAAGGCCACAGAGAUGAAGUGACAUUCUUUUCACAUCAUAUCAAUGCUACAUACUAUCAAAAGGGCUUAUCACUGUUGAUGUUAAUUUUAAUCACCUGGCUAAGAUAUUCUUUUUCAGGAUUUUGACUUUAAAGUUACCCUUUAUGCUUUUCCUUCUCAUAAAGUGCUCUUUGAAAUGAAGUCACUCUGUGCAGCAGACAUUUAAAAAGCAGGAAAUUAUGGUGACAGAGUAUCUGUAUAAAUUAUUUGCAGUUCUUUUAUUUUCAGAGUUUGGAAUUAUAGCACUCCUAUAAAUCUUAUUACUAAUGGUGCCACAAAUUGUGUACUACUGAUAUGUAUUAGUGCACAACUUAAAGCAUGUGGACAUGAGCUGUAUUUGAAAAAACAUUCAGAUGGAAGAGCUACCUGAUUUGAAGUGAAUCUUAAUUGGAACUUAAUGAUGCCUCCUAGUAAUUUACUAUUUUAGCUGAACCUACAGUAUCAGCUGUAGCCCAGAAAAUAUAAGAGCUACAAUUCGUACAAUUCAACAUCAGCUGCCAAGGCCCACCUGGACUGCACCUGCAAAACCAGCUGUGGUUUCUUUGCUCUCACAAUUCAUGUCAGUGUUUUUCAGCCAAUGCAUCACUGGUUUCGAAUUUUAUACUGUUCCUCUCUCAGUCCUCCACCCCUCUAGUUUCUAAAUGAUAGAGAAUAAUUAGGUGAGGUUUAAACUCUCAGGAUUAUUCAGGGUUUGUGGAGAGUAGGAAGGUUUCUUCCAGGUUACAGCACAAUUUAAGGAGCCUGGCAAGAAGCAUCCAAUAUUAGCAAGUAGAAAAGCAGCAUAAGUAUGAGGUUGGAACUUCCCACGAUACUUAGUACAUGGAAAAAAAUGUAGAACAUACCAAAAAAAAAGCAAAUUGUAAAAAAAUUUCACAAAUAAAAAUACUGUUAUGAAAAUUAUAAUUCACAUUUUUAAUAUUUUUUAUUGUAAAAUGUAUAAAAUUUGCCAUUUAACCUCUUAAGUGUACAAUUCAGUGGCAUUAAUUGUAUUUACAGUUUUGUGCAACAAUCACCACUAUUUUCAAAAAUUUUCAUCAAUCCAAACAGAAACUCUGGCAAUUAGUAACAACUCCCCAUUUUUUAUUCCUAAUCCAUCCCCUAGUAAACUCUAAAUCUUGUCUCUGUGAAUCUCCCUGUUCUAAAUAUUUGUAUAAGAGGAAUCAUACAACAUUGACCCUUUUGUGUCUGGCUAAUUUCACUUUGCAUAAUGUUUAAAAGCUUCAUCCAUAUAGUGACAUGUAUGAGAACUUCAUUUCUUUUUUAUGGCUCAAUUAUAUUCCACAGUAUGCACACACACCCCAUUUUGUUUAUCCAUUCAUCUGUUGAUAGACACACGUGGGUUAUUUCCUCCUUUUGGCUGUUAUGAAUAAUGCUGCUAUAAACACUAGUGUGCAUUUAUCUGAAUUCAUGUUUUACAUUCAUUGGGAUACCAAAUUAAAAUGCUGGGUCAUAUGGUAAUUCUGUUUAACAUUUUAAGGUAUCACCAAACUGUCUUCCACAGCAGCUGCAUCAUUUUAAAUGCAGACCAACAAAGUAUGAUUCUCCAAAUUUCCCAGUUACUCGUCAACUCUUGUUCUACAUUUUCUAACUAUAGUGAUACUAGUAGGUAUAACAUUAUGUCAUUGUGAUUUUGAUUUGCAAUGGCCUAAAAACUAAUGGUUUUUUAAUAACUUUCAUGUUGUACUCAUUGGCCAUUUGCAUAUCUUUAGCAAAAUGUCUAUUCAAAUCCUUUGCCUGUUUUUAAUUGGGUUGUUUUGUCUUUUUGUUGUAGAGUUGUAGUUUUUUAAUGUCUUGAUAUAAAUCUCUUACAAGAUACAUACUUCACAGUACAUUAUCUCAUUUUGUAAAUAAGUUAUUUCACUCUCUUAGUGAUGUUUUUAUUAUCUAAAGGUUUUAAUACUUUUUAAAACUUGUACUGUGAAUAUGAUAUGCCCUGUGAUUAACAAAUUUAUUUAUUACUUAAACAACUUAAUUUUUAAAAAUAAUUGCAUGAAUAUUUUUGUCCUAUUUGUUCCAUUCCUACUUCGUGAACACCAAUUAUCUGUUUGACAGAUUGUCAUUUUCCAUGCUUCAUACAAAUUCUUUUUUCUUCUGCAUUUUUUUCUUUCCAAUCUUUGUGAAUGUAUUUAAUUUUCUUGCCUUGAUAUUCUGACUAGAACCUCCAGUAUAAUUUAUUUAUU
This 3267-nucleotide long non-coding RNA is filed under the name Homo sapiens (human). RNAcentral describes it as "HSALNT0204879". Lineage: Eukaryota; Metazoa; Chordata; Mammalia; Primates; Hominidae. The record is from RNAcentral.